This 1173-nucleotide long non-coding RNA is filed under the name Homo sapiens (human). Lineage: Eukaryota; Metazoa; Chordata; Mammalia; Primates; Hominidae. The record is from RNAcentral.
CUCAUUUUUCUACUGCUCGUGGAUUUACGCGCACGUUGGAACCGAAGAGAGCUCUGUUGUUGCAAUGUUCAGCCCACAAGAGCUUACUGGUGAAGGAAUGGGACAAGACCCAUCUUUAUGCAAAGCCAGCGUUACAGUAAUGUUCCAGGUAUUCCUGAUGACAGUCUGCCUCUAUCUUACACUUAUGCCACCAAGUAGGCAGUUUCUAUGAUGAAUCAAACUAGCUCACUAUGACCGACAGUGAAAAUACAUGAACACCUGAGAAACUGGAGAACGCAGGGAGUGGGGGGUAACCAUGUCUGAGGAAUCUUUCACCCACAGCUUUGUUUUUCUCUAGGUACUACUAACCAAUAACCUGCUUGGCUCAAAGGGCCAGCACCUUCUCUCUAAAGCCCAAGAGGAGUUUGAGGAAAACUAGGUGUCUGUGUUCACUCCAGGCUGAAGUUACAGGUCUGAGCAAAUAAGGUGUAUAAAAAAUGGAAUCUGUCUUGGAGGACAUCAGAAGGUGAAUUUUCCAAGUUCUUGGACAACCUAGCUGUUGAAAAGCUUUCUGGGUUUGGGGGGUAUUUCAGAUGUACCUUAAAGUGUUAGCAGACACAGAUUAAGACACUGGGAGCCAAUGAAACAGCAGUUGAGGGUUUGCUGUGUAUCACAUUUCUGUAUUUUAUCACCCCCUUCCUGCAACAUUAUUUAUCUGGAAUCUACCUGCCCUUUUGUUUUUUAGAUACAAGGGCUUGGUUUUGUUACCCAGGCUGGUUUCAAGGCCAUAGCUUUAAGAGAUCCUCUCACCACAGAUUUCCAAAGUGCUGGGAUUGCAGGUGUGAUUCAUGGCACCCAGACUUUGCUGCCUUUCUUACAUGAUCCAGGCCCAGAACCCAAACUCAGGCACUGUAUAGAUGACCACUUUCGUAAACUACUGACCUAGCUUGUUGCCAAUUGUUGAUUGAACUUCCCAUAACUCCACUUCGUGUCUGUUCCUCUGUAUACAGCCACCUUCUGUUCCCGUCAUGAGCCUUUAGGUCUCCAUUUGCAUAUUGCAAAUACUAUGUUCCAUGUAGGUAGCUCAUUCAGGGCCUUGCUCUUCACUUCAAAAAAGGUUCCCUUGAGGACUGGCUGUCAAUUUGUGUUGCUGUGUUGGUUGUUGAUGAAAAUAAUAAAAUGAUUGAUUACAUA